AGCGAACGUUAGCGGCGGGCCUAACACAUGCAAGUCGCACGAGAAAAGGGCUUCGGCCCCGAGUAAAGUGGCGGACGGGUGAGUAACACGUGGACAACCUGCCUUCUGGCGGGGGAUAACAGUCCGAAAGGAUUGCUAAUACCGCAUACGUCGGCGAGACCGCAUGGUCUUGCCGGGAAAGCCGGCCACUGCAAGCAAGCUGGCACCAGAAGAGGGGUCCGCGGUCCACCAGCUAGUUGGUGAGGUAACGGCUCACCAAGGCAUAGACGGAUAGCUGGUCUGAGAGGAUGAUCAGCCACACUGGGACUGAGACACGGCCCAGACUCCUACGGGAGGCAGCAGUGGGGAAUAUUGGGCAAUGGGCGCAAGCCUGACCCAGCCACGCCGCGUGAGUGAUGAAGGCCUUCGGGUCGUAAAGCUCUGUGGGGAGGGACGAAACGCUGCGACCUAAUACGUCGCAGUCUGACGGUACCUCCUUAGCAAGCACCGGCUAACUCCGUGCCAGCAGCCGCGGUAAUACGGAGGGUGCAAACGUUGCUCGGAAUCAUUGGGCGUAAAGCGCACGUAGGCGGCCCAGCAAGUCGGAUGUGAAAGCCCUCGGCUCAACCGAGGAAGAGCACUCGAAACUACUGGGCUAGAGUACCGGAGAGGGUGACGGAAUUCCCGGUGUAGAGGUGAAAUUCGUAGA
Molecule: ribosomal RNA, 688 nt
Filed under: uncultured bacterium
Lineage: Bacteria
Description: bacterial SSU rRNA
Rfam family: Bacterial small subunit ribosomal RNA
Source: RNAcentral